Molecule: ribosomal RNA, 341 nt
Filed under: uncultured Caldisericum sp.
Lineage: Bacteria; Pseudomonadati; Caldisericota; Caldisericia; Caldisericales; Caldisericaceae
Description: bacterial SSU rRNA
Rfam family: Bacterial small subunit ribosomal RNA
Source: RNAcentral
UGCAUGGUUGUCGUCAGCUCGUGUCGUGAGAUGUAGGUUAAGUCCUUGAACGAGCGCAACCCCUUUCGUCAGUUGCAAACCAGCAAUGGCGCACCCUGACGAUACUGCCAACUAAAAGUUGGAGGAAGGAGGGGAUGACGUCAAAUCCUCAUGGCCUUUAUGUCCAGGGCUACACACAUGCGACAAUGGUCGGUACAACGGGUUGCAACACCGCGAGGUGAAGCCAAUCCCUAAAAACCGACCUCAGUUCAGAUUGCAGACUGCAAUUCGUCUACAUGAAGGUGGAGUUGCUAGUAACCGCGGGUCAGCUACACCGCCGGUGAACCUAUGUUCCGGGCCUU